RNAcentral lists this ribosomal RNA (461 nucleotides) under uncultured bacterium. RNAcentral describes it as "partial 16S ribosomal RNA". It matches the Rfam family "Bacterial small subunit ribosomal RNA", at positions 338 to 795 of the family's 1533-position model. The record is from RNAcentral.
CCUACGGGUGGCAGCAGUGAGGAAUAUUGGUCAAUGGGCGGGAGCCUGAACCAGCCAAGUCGCGUGAGGGAAGACGGUCCUACGGAUUGUAAACCUCUUUUGCCGGGGAGCAACGGGGUCCUUGCGAGGGCCCGAUGAGAGUACCCGGAGAAAAAGCAUCGGCUAACUCCGUGCCAGCAGCCGCGGUAAUACGGAGGAUGCGAGCGUUGUCCGGAUUUACUGGGUGUAAAGGGCGUGUAGCCGGGUUGACAAGUCAGAUGUGAAAUCCUGCGGCUUAACCGCAGAACUGCAUGUGAAACUGUUGAUCUUGAGUACUGGAGAGGCAGAUGGAAUUCCGAGUGUAGCGGUGAAAUGCGUAGAUAUUAGGAGGAACACCAGUGGCGAAGGCGGUCUGCUGGACAGCAACUGACGGUGAGGCGCGAAAGCGUGGGGAGCAAACAGGAUUAGAUACCCUGGUAGUC